UGGGGAAUAUUGCACAAUGGGGGAAACCCUGAUGCAGCGACGCCGCGUGGAGGAAGAAGGUCUUCGGAUUGUAAACUCCUGUUGUUGAGGAAGAUAAUGACGGUACUCAACAAGGAAGUGACGGCUAACUACGUGCCAGCAGCCGCGGUAAAACGUAGGUCACAAGCGUUGUCCGGAAUUACUGGGUGUAAAGGGAGCGCAGGCGGGAAGACAAGUUGGAAGUGAAAUCUAUGGGCUCAACCCAUAAACUGCUUUCAAAACUGUUUUUCUUGAGUAGUGCAGAGGUAGGCGGAAUUCCCGGUGUAGCGGUGGAAUGCGUAGAUAUCGGGAGGAACACCAGUGGCGAAGGCGGCCUACUGGGCACCAACUGACGCUGAGGCUCGAAAGUGUGGGUAGCAAACAGGAUUAGAUACCCUGGUAGUCCACACCGUAAACGAUGAUUACUAGGUGUUGGAGGAUUGACCCCUUCAGUGCCGCAGUUAACACAAUAAGUAAUCCACCUGGGGAGUACGACCGCAAGGUUGAAACUCAAAGGAAUUGACGGGGGCCCGCACAAGCAGUGGAGUAUGUGGUUUAAUUCGACGCAACGCGAAGAACCUUACCAAGUCUUGACAUCCUGCGACGCACAUAGAAAUAUGUGUUUCCUUCGGGACGCAGAGACAGGUGGUGCAUGGUUGUCGUCAGCUCGUGUCGUGAGAUGUUGGGUUAAGUCCCGCAACGAGCGCAACCCUUACUGUCAGUUACUACGCAAGAGGACUCUGGCAGGACUGCCGUUGACAAAACGGAGGAAGGUGGGGAUGACGUCAAAUCAUCAUGCCCUUUAUGACUUGGGCUACACACGUACUACAAUGGCGUUAAACAAAGAGAAGCAAGACCGCGAGGUGGAGCAAAACUCAGAAACAACGUCCCAGUUCGGACUGCAGGCUGCAACUCGCCUGCACGAAGUCGGAAUUGCUAGUAAUCGUGGAUCAGCAUGCCACGGUGAAUACGUUCCC
RNAcentral lists this ribosomal RNA (995 nucleotides) under uncultured bacterium. RNAcentral's name for it is "bacterial SSU rRNA". It matches the Rfam family "Bacterial small subunit ribosomal RNA", at positions 355 to 1375 of the family's 1533-position model. The record is from RNAcentral.